This 969-nucleotide long non-coding RNA is filed under the name Mus spicilegus (steppe mouse). RNAcentral's name for it is "lncRNA (ENSMSIG00000003413.1)". Lineage: Eukaryota; Metazoa; Chordata; Mammalia; Rodentia; Muridae. The record is from RNAcentral.
AAGGGAGCGUGUCAGAGCCUGGGAUGGGAGGACCGGUUUUAAGCACAGCUCUGAUGGGCUGGAUUAGCAGCUAAUUCCUCUGGGCCUCUUGGUGUAAAACAACACUGACUAAGUGAGAAGCAGGCUUGGCAUCCCUGCUGGCUCCCACCCUAGGCUUUGCCUCAGGACUGACAGUGCAUCCCGUCCAUCCCUGCCAGAGAUCACAGAGGCGGUGGGAAGCCAGCCCUAUGCUGAAGGCCUUGCCAGGGCCGGGGAUACAGCAGAGACAGCUCACAUCUCUCAACUUUCCUGAGGAAGUUACAUAUACUGGCUGGAUUUAACCCCAGAAUUUUCUGCUUUUCCACCUUCAAGUUUUGAAACAAUAUUAUAUUUGUGGGAGCAGCAGGUCGCUUAUCUCUAGUCGUGCUAGACAGAGCCUCUGUAUAACGCUGGAGGAAGAGGACAGGGCUGCCUAGGACCCCCCAUGUAGGAAACACCCCUCCAUCUCCUGUGCUGCAGCUAGCACUCACUGGGCCCAAGGGAGUCACCCUGGGAACCACCACUUCACCCAGUAGACUGCUUACUAAAGAAUGCUGAGCCAGAAAACAGGCUGGACAAGUGACUUGAAGAUGGAGGGCAGAAGGCUUCCUCUUGAGAUACAUCAACUGGAGACUUUAAGUACCCUGGGGUCAGGCAGAGCCCUCUCUACCCAUGGCUUUAUUUCAGCUCCAACUACUGGAUUAUACACCUGCUGUCACUCAACAGGGACUAAUCUUCUUCAAUGGAUGGUGGUCAAUGAUGCAUGAACUGAAGUUUCCUGAGACAGAAUUAUUUGAGCUGUGGCCUGGCAAGCAAGAUUGGGACCCACAGCUCAUGUCAUGGAGUUUUGGUAGAAGAAUUGGAAAGAGAGGCAGUCAAUUCAGGAACUACUUUGCUCACUUCUGAACUGCUGCCUCCCGGACAAGAUCCCUCCAGCUUGCUUUCUGUGCC